CUGGCGGCGUGCUUAAUACAUGACAAGUACAACUUGACUUUAGAUAGCAAUAUACGAAAAGGUAGGGUGGCGCGACGGGUGCGUAACGCGUAGGUAAUCUGCCCUGAGGUCUGACAUAACCCGUCGAAAGGCGGGCUAACAUCAGAUGAUAUAUAAUCACGACAUCGUGGAAAUAUCAAAUCUUCGGAGCCUUGGGAUGAGCCUGCGUCUGAUUAGGUAGUUGGCGGAGUAAUAGCCCACCAAGCCUACGAUCAGUAGCUGGUCUGAGAGGAUGAUCAGCCACACUGGAACUGAGACACGGUCCAGACUCCUACGGGAGGCAGCAGUAAGGAAUAUUGCUCAAUGGGGGAAACCCUGAAGCAGCAACGCCGCGUGAAGGAUGAAAUACUUUUGUAUGUAAACUUCUGUAAGAUGGGAAAAAUAUUCUCCUCGGGAGAAUUGAUUGUACCAUCAGAGUAAGCCCCGGCUAACUACGUG
This 477-nucleotide ribosomal RNA is filed under the name uncultured bacterium. RNAcentral describes it as "bacterial SSU rRNA". It matches the Rfam family "Bacterial small subunit ribosomal RNA", at positions 36 to 507 of the family's 1533-position model. The record is from RNAcentral.